RNAcentral lists this unclassified non-coding RNA (339 nucleotides) under soil metagenome. RNAcentral describes it as "partial contains 5.8S ribosomal RNA, internal transcribed spacer 2, and large subunit ribosomal RNA". The stretch from base 1 to 120 matches the Rfam family "5.8S ribosomal RNA", at positions 35 to 154 of the family's 154-position model. The record is from RNAcentral.
GAUGAAGAACGCAGCGAAAUGCGAUAAGUAAUGUGAAUUGCAGAAUUCCGUGAAUCAUCGAAUCUUUGAACGCACAUUGCGCCCCCUGGUAUUCCGGGGGGCAUGCCUGUCCGAGCGUCAUUGCAACCCUCAAGAGCGGCUUGUGUGUUGGGCUUCGUCCCCCCGUGGACGUGCCCGAAAGGCAGUGGCGGCGUCCCGAAUGGUGCCCGAGCGUAUGGGAACUCUCUUCCGCUCGAACCGGCCCAUUCGGCGCUGGUCGAACCCCAAUUUUUUUUUACCGGUUGACCUCGGAUCAGGUAGGGAUACCCGCUGAACUUAAGCAUAUCAAUAAGCGGAGGA